GACACUGCCUGGAGGCUGUUAACGCGCGCUUUGGAAAGAGGAAGAAUAAGGGGAAAGAUUUAGACCCAGCUCCGCCUGGACUUGACUUUGGAUAUUUUGACCUCGAGGAACUUGGGGACCGACAUUCCUGGUUUGGACCCAAGCCUCAUCCCCUGAUUGCAUCCCCUCCACUCGUACCGACUCUUAAGACAGUAUUUUCAAUGAUAUAGCAACUUCCUUUUAUAGCAUCCCCUGGUCCUGCAUUCUCUGUUGCGGAGUGCUUUUAACUUAGCUGAUGGGCACUUGACAUCUGAUGCUUCUGGGGCCAGGAUGAGGAGGAGCUUAGCUCCCAGCCAGUUGGCCAGGAGGAAACCAGAAGACAGAUCAUCAGAUGAUGACGACUGGCAGCCUGGGACAGUAACUCCUAAGAAACGCAAGUCCAGCAGUGAGACCCAGGUCCAGGAGUGUUUCCUGUCUCCUUUUCGGAAGCCCUUGACUCAGCUACUCAACCGGCCACCUUGUCUGGAUAG
Molecule: non-coding RNA, 509 nt
Organism: Mus caroli (Ryukyu mouse)
Lineage: Eukaryota; Metazoa; Chordata; Mammalia; Rodentia; Muridae
Source: RefSeq, a predicted model, not a curated record